Molecule: small RNA, 28 nt
Filed under: Bombyx mori (domestic silkworm)
Lineage: Eukaryota; Metazoa; Arthropoda; Insecta; Lepidoptera; Bombycidae
Description: ovarian small RNA-31440
Source: RNAcentral
UGACAUACAUAAGGAAGCCAUGAAAAAA